RNAcentral lists this ribosomal RNA (253 nucleotides) under uncultured bacterium. RNAcentral describes it as "partial 16S ribosomal RNA". It matches the Rfam family "Bacterial small subunit ribosomal RNA", at positions 524 to 776 of the family's 1533-position model. The record is from RNAcentral.
UACGAAGGGGGCUAGCGUUGUUCGGAAUCACUGGGCGUAAAGCGCUCGUAGGCGGAUCUUUAAGUCAGGGGUGAAAUCCCGAGGCUCAACCUCGGAACUGCCUUUGAUACUGGGGAUCUCGAGUCCGGGAGAGGUGAGUGGAACUGCGAGUGUAGAGGUGAAAUUCGUAGAUAUUCGCAAGAACACCAGUGGCGAAGGCGGCUCACUGGCCCGGUACUGGCGCUGAGGAGCGAAAGCGUGGGGAGCGAACAGG